Long non-coding RNA from Aegilops tauschii subsp. strangulata, 1321 nucleotides. RefSeq lists it as uncharacterized. Lineage: Eukaryota; Viridiplantae; Streptophyta; Magnoliopsida; Poales; Poaceae. The record is from RefSeq and is a predicted model, not a curated record.
UUUCUAUGUUUCUCUGCCAUUCGGUUGCAUGCCGUUUGAGUUUUUGCUUCUCUAUACGUGCGUGUCCAUCCACGUGUUGCAUGGAUGGUGGUCAUUGUACGACGUUGUUAUACGUCGAGCGCGUUGUGUUUUUAGGAGGUCGCCACGUUAUUCGGUACUACCACCGUCUGUUUAGAGGUUGACGUGUGUUCGGCUUCCAGGCGGUGCCGCUCUUGCCAUAUGGUCUCGAAACAGUUUUUCUCGAUCGUUCUGCAUCCUUUUGGUUGAUUCGCUUUAGGUUUCUUGUUCCUCGGAGACGCUAUAUAUAGGUGGCUCUCCCCGUUCGUUUUCUUUGCCUCACGGGCUGCGGUUUCUAUUUUAUGCCUAUUGAUGGUUCGUCCUGCCUCUGCCCGGAGCCGGAGCGACUUGCCUCGCCCAGGCAGCCAUCCUGAUCCUGGGAUUCGAGGAGCCGUCAUUAAUCGGGCGUGUAAUGGUCGGAGCAGCGCUGCUGCUCGAGGUCGUCGUGCGUUAAUGAGAGAGGAUGCCGUUGGUGGCCAACGGUCCGAUGUUCGUUCAUUGCGUCGGGUCGCCAUGCGGUUCGUCGUCCUAUCAGCCAUGCGGUCAAUGACGGCCACAACCUCGGCGCCCCGGGCUACAAUGAAAGCGGCUGUGGCGGGGAUGGGACGGACGAUGCUCCUGCUGCGUGCGGAGCUCGCGUGGAGGCGGCUCAUGCAUCUGGUGCGCCUGCAGGAGGCAGCGGUAUUGAACUCUUGAUGGCGCGCAUGGGCAUGGCAUAUGUCGUGAGGCGAAGCAGCCCGUGGGCGCGAGGUCGCCCGCUCGAUGGUGCCGUCGUGCGGGUUUCCGGGGAUCCGUCUUGGGUGCUGGAGCUAUCACGCAGCCGCCACUCCAGUCACUGCCUCCGGCCGCUUGCAAGUCCUGCGGAGACAACUGUUCUCUAGGCCCGUUUACCUGUGGGAGCCGCGCCGGUGCUUGGAGAGAGAAGGUUGCGGCGGUAUGGCGCUCAUGAUGCAUGCCACGGUCCGCGGUCUACCUCGGUCAAGGUUAAGCUCGAGGGCGGGAGCUGGCGGUGCGCUGGGGAACCGCCGGAACGAGAUUAGUUUGGCAAGAUCCGGAUGGGAGGAAUCUCCGCUGCUUCCCGGGGUCGCCGUCGUGGUCGUGCCGCCGUGCUCCACAGUCUGGAGCAUUUUACAGUGCAUCCGGACGAUAUGGACCGUCCGUCGGAGCGAAUUCGACAGUCCAGAUCCGAUGCAAUACGCUGAUGUCACGUGUAUUAUAUCAGACCCCGAGGGGCAUUUUCGGAAGAAAAAAUAUUUCGAACUGA